Molecule: ribosomal RNA, 520 nt
Filed under: uncultured bacterium
Lineage: Bacteria
Description: partial 16S ribosomal RNA
Rfam family: Bacterial small subunit ribosomal RNA
Source: RNAcentral
GACGAACGCUGGCGGCGUGCUUAACACAUGCAAGUCGAACGGAGAAUUUUACUUCGGUGAAAUUCUUAGUGGCGAACGGGUGAGUAACGCGUAGACAACCUGCCUCUUAGAUGGGGACAACAUCGCGAAAGCGGUGCUAAUACCGAGUGAAGUGGAGCUUCCGCAUGGAAGCAUCACCAAAGGUGGCCUCUAUUUAUAAGCUACCACUGAGGGAUGGGUCUGCGUCUGAUUAGCUAGUUGGCGGGGUAAUGGCCCACCAAGGCGACGAUCAGUAGCCGGUCUGAGGGGAUGAACGGCCACAUUGGGACUGAGACACGGCCCAAACUCCUACGGGAGGCAGCAGUGGGGAAUCUUCCGCAAUGGACGAAAGUCUGACGGAGCAACGCCGCGUGAGUGAAGAAGGUUUUCGGAUCGUAAAGCUCUGUUGUUUGAGACGAAUGUGCAGACUUUGAAUAAGGGUUUGUAAUGACGGUAUUAAACGAGAAAGCCACGGCUAACUACGUGCCAGCAGCCGCCGUAA